Molecule: ribosomal RNA, 270 nt
Filed under: uncultured archaeon
Lineage: Archaea
Description: partial 16S ribosomal RNA
Rfam family: Archaeal small subunit ribosomal RNA
Source: RNAcentral
CUGCAGCCCGAGUGGUGAUCGAUUUUAUUGAGCCUAAAGCGUCCGUAGCCGGACUAGUAAACCCUUGGGUGAAUUGGGCAGCUUAACUGUCCAAAUUCCGAGGGGACUGCUAGUCUUGGGACCGGGAGAGGUCAGAGGUACUCAAGGGGUAGGGGCUAAAUCCUGUAAUCCUUUGGGGACCACCAGUGGCGAAGGCGUCUGACUAGAACGGAUCCGACGGUAAGGGACGAAACCCUGGGGCGCGAACCGGAUUAGAUACCCGAGUAGUCC